RNAcentral lists this small RNA (147 nucleotides) under bovine gut metagenome. RNAcentral's name for it is "Ribosomal protein L10 leader". It matches the Rfam family "Ribosomal protein L10 leader". From Rfam's summary of the family: This family is a putative r-protein leader autoregulatory structure found in B. subtilis and other low-GC Gram-positive bacteria. It is located in the 5' untranslated regions of mRNAs encoding ribosomal proteins L10 and L12 (rplJ-rplL). The record is from RNAcentral.
AUAAUAAUAUUGCUGUCCAAAGACAGCAGGUGCAGUUUACAAAAAACACUGCUUAAAGUUUAUUCGCCUGCCGAGGAACGAGCAUGAAUUAUAUUGUGUAAUUUUGUGCCUUUCUCUCGGUUUUUGGAGAAAGGCUUUUUUGUUAUU